UACGUAUGGUGCAAGCGUUGUUCGGAAUUAUUGGGUGUAAAGGGUAUGUAGGCGGAAUUGUAAGUCAGAUGUGAAAUCUAAGGGCUCAACCCUUAGCCUGCAUUUGAUACUGUGAUUCUAGAGUUUGGGAGAGGCAAGCGGAAUUCCUGGUGUAGCGGUGAAAUGCGUAGAUAUCAGGAAGAACACCGGUGGCGAAAGCGGCUUGCUGGCCUAAAACUGACGCUGAGAUACGAAAGUGUGGGGAGCGAACGGG
RNAcentral lists this ribosomal RNA (253 nucleotides) under uncultured bacterium. RNAcentral's name for it is "partial 16S ribosomal RNA". It matches the Rfam family "Bacterial small subunit ribosomal RNA", at positions 524 to 776 of the family's 1533-position model. The record is from RNAcentral.